This 279-nucleotide ribosomal RNA is filed under the name uncultured bacterium. RNAcentral describes it as "partial 16S ribosomal RNA". It matches the Rfam family "Bacterial small subunit ribosomal RNA", at positions 506 to 784 of the family's 1533-position model. The record is from RNAcentral.
UGCCAGCAGCCGCAGUAAUACGGAGGAUGCAAGCGUUAUCCGGAUUCAUUGGGUUUAAAGGGUGCGCAGGCGGGCUUGUAAGUCAGUGGUGAAAUACUGCCGCUCAACGGUAGAACUGCCAUUGAUGCUGCAAGUCUUGAAUAUGGUUGAGGUAGGCGGAAUGUGUCGUGUAGCGGUGAAAUGCAUAGAUAUGACACAGAACGCCAAUUGCGAAGGCAGCUUACUAAGCUACGAUUGACGCUGAGGCACGAAAGCGUGGGGAGCGAACAGGAUUAGAUA